CCAAGAUCUCAGGUCACGCACGUGAUGGACAAUUAGAGGAAUUUAUUCUGGAUUUUGAAGUAGAAGCUCCUUAACGGCAAAACUGGGGACUUCGCCAUAGUCUGGAGGCUACCAGCCUCACGAUGAGCCUCCAGGCGUGAAAGAACUUCGUGCCUUCAAUCAGUAGAUGUAAUUAUUUGAUGCAGUGACAAAGGAAGAAUCCAGUCUAUUGAUAGAAAUGAUGAAAAGCAUUACAAGAACUGGUUAACAUAGAAACCCCGGAAGAGAGCAAUACGAUGACUGAUGGAAAUAUGGGCAUCAGCAGU
Nyctereutes procyonoides (raccoon dog) is the source of this 305-nucleotide long non-coding RNA. RefSeq lists it as uncharacterized. The record is from RefSeq and is a predicted model, not a curated record. The transcript is spliced from 4 exons. Lineage: Eukaryota; Metazoa; Chordata; Mammalia; Carnivora; Canidae.